AGAGUUUGAUCAUGGCUCAGAUUGAACGCUGGCGGCAUGCUUUACACAUGCAAGUCGAACGGCAGCACGGGCUUCGGCCUGGUGGCGAGUGGCGAACGGGUGAGUAAUGCAUCGGAACGUACCGUGUAAUGGGGGAUAACGUAGCGAAAGUUACGCUAAUACCGCAUACGCCCUGAGGGGGAAAGCGGGGGGAUCGUAAGACCUCGCGUUAUACGAGCGGCCGAUGUCGGAUUAGCUAGUUGGUGGGGUAAAGGCCUACCAAGGCGACGAUCCGUAGCGGGUCUGAGAGGAUGAUCCGCCACACUGGGACUGAGACACGGCCCAGACUCCUACGGGAGGCAGCAGUGGGGAAUUUUGGACAAUGGGCGCAAGCCUGAUCCAGCCAUGCCGCGUGAGUGAAGAAGGCCUUCGGGUUGUAAAGCUCUUUCGGCGGGGAAGAAAUUGCUUCGGUUAAUACCCGGAGUAGAUGACGGUACCCGCAUAAGAAGCACCGGCUAACUACGUG
RNAcentral lists this ribosomal RNA (505 nucleotides) under uncultured bacterium. RNAcentral's name for it is "bacterial SSU rRNA". It matches the Rfam family "Bacterial small subunit ribosomal RNA", at positions 8 to 507 of the family's 1533-position model. The record is from RNAcentral.